GUGGGGAAUUUUGCGCAAUGGGGGAAACCCUGACGCAGCAACGCCGCGUGAGUGAUGAAGGCCUUCGGGUCGUAAAGCUCUGUCAGAGGGGAAGAAAUGCAGGGGUGCUAAUAUCAUCUUUGCUUGACGGUACCCUCAAAGGAAGCACCGGCUAACUCCGUGCCAGCAGCCGCGGUAAUACGGAGGGUGCGAGCGUUGUUCGGAAUUAUUGGGCGUAAAGCGCGUGUAGGCGUUUUGGUAAGUCUGAUGUGAAAGCCCCGGGCUCAACCUGGGAAGUGCAUUGGAAACUGUCAGACUUGAAUACGGGAGAGGGUAGUGGAAUUCCUAGUGUAGGAGUGAAAUCCGUAGAUAUUAGGAGGAACACCGGUGGCGAAGGCGGCUACCUGGACCGAUAUUGACGCUGAGACGCGAAAGCGUGGGGAGCAAACAGGAUUAGAAACCCGAGUAGUCC
This 451-nucleotide ribosomal RNA is filed under the name uncultured bacterium. RNAcentral describes it as "partial 16S ribosomal RNA". It matches the Rfam family "Bacterial small subunit ribosomal RNA", at positions 354 to 796 of the family's 1533-position model. The record is from RNAcentral.